UCACAAAAAGGUUCCGGUUUCAACCUUUAAACAGGGGUUCCUCAAAGACCAGUGGUGUAAAGUACUUAAGUACUUUUUGAACUGGAAAAGUUCCCUGUGUGGCAAUUUUUUGAAUCUCAGAAGGUUCUUCCAGGCUCCUUUUCUCAUAAGAGUGUAGAGGUAUGGGUUAGUGUCAGGGGUAUCUUACUGAAGUGGUGUGUUGGGGUAAGGAGGAGGGUUGGAGGCGGUAGGGCAGGGCCGUCACUCUGAAGGACACGGUAGAGUUGAGGAGGUAUGGGUCGUUACGUCUCUGCAAGG
This is a long non-coding RNA of Oncorhynchus tshawytscha (Chinook salmon), 297 nucleotides long. RefSeq lists it as uncharacterized. The record is from RefSeq and is a predicted model, not a curated record. The transcript is spliced from 3 exons. Lineage: Eukaryota; Metazoa; Chordata; Actinopteri; Salmoniformes; Salmonidae.